This 216-nucleotide long non-coding RNA is filed under the name Phoenix dactylifera (date palm). Its description in RNAcentral is "long non-coding RNA (PDAC_LNC013898)". Lineage: Eukaryota; Viridiplantae; Streptophyta; Magnoliopsida; Arecales; Arecaceae. The record is from RNAcentral.
AUAAAGUCAAGUACAAAUUAUGUCCUAGAAUUAAUAAUGUGUCAGCCAAAUUGGCUUCUAGGGCAUACAUCUAACACUGUCAUGGGAUUAUAGUGACCAUAGCAGCACAUCCGUCUGAGAGUAUGUUUUAUAAAGUAUGGAUAAAUGGCAAUAUUUCUAUAUGACUUGCAUUAUCAUGGUUAUGAACUUUCAUGGAUGGAUCAUGCAUUGCUUUAU